RNAcentral lists this non-coding RNA (110 nucleotides) under Klebsiella sp. RNAcentral describes it as "TPP sequence". It matches the Rfam family "TPP riboswitch aptamer (THI element)". Rfam says of the family: Vitamin B(1) in its active form thiamin pyrophosphate (TPP) is an essential coenzyme that is synthesised by coupling of pyrimidine and thiazole moieties in bacteria. Lineage: Bacteria; Pseudomonadati; Pseudomonadota; Gammaproteobacteria; Enterobacterales; Enterobacteriaceae. RNAcentral also lists the same sequence under 1 other name. The record is from RNAcentral.
UACAUCUUGUCGGAGUGCCCUGUGCGAAAGCACUGGCUGAGACCGUUAAUUCGGGAUCCGCGGAACCUGAUCAGGCUAAUACCUGCGAAGGGAACAAGAGUAAUUCUGCU